ACCACAAGCUCUAUUCUUCCCUGUUUUUCUUCUCAGCAUCUUACAAAACUAUUUCUUUCUUCAUAUUCUCUUUAUGUUUGGCUGAAAUCCUGAGUUGCCGACUCCCACUGUCUUCCUUCCCGACUUGAGUCAUCGGAAUGCGGAAGACAAUGAAUACGAAGAAGGGGUUGAACCAACACUAGAAUUUGUGAUGACAAAGAAGGACAUAACUGGGAGUGUAGCUCCGGCUACUUUGCUGGUUUUUAAUAAUAAGGUUGGAUUUUCCAGGAAGAAUAUGGACUCGAUCUGCAGUGUAGGACGUUCUACAAAGAAGGGGAAGAGACAACAGGUUUAUUGGAGAAAAAGCUCCACGAUUGGCUAGCGUGAAUCUUGGUAUCUUCAUAUGCAUGCAAUGUUCAGGGAUCCAUAAGAGUCUUGGGGUACAUAUAUCAAAUGUGAGAUCUGCCACUUUGGAUACAUGACUCCCAUAGCAGGUUGCAUAUAUCCAAUCCUGCUGCCGGCAACAGUCGUGGUAGAAGUGGAGGAAAUGACGGUGGUAAUUGAGGUGGAGUGGUAACAGGAGAGGUAGCAGGAGGCAGUGACUAUUGCGGCGAAGACAUUGUUGGUUGCAUGGGUUUUAUUGAAAACAAACUUAUACAUCCCAACGCAAAAGGAGAGAGGAGGCAAUGGAUGGCUUUGUUGAUAACGGGGAGUUCAAAGUCAAGAGGAGGGGCGUAAGCACAUAUUAAGUUUUUGUAUCUCAAUCUGAUUGUUUGAUUUUGGUUGUAUACAUCAUGGGUUGAGUGAUGCAGGUGAAGCUUUGUUUUAGGACCAUCUUGGAGAAGUAUUCUUUGUUGAGCUGCUAGAAAAUGGUCACUCAGUCUCUCAAGGGGGCAGCUUUGGAUUGCCUUUCCAGAAUGUUGAGGUGGUCAUUGAAAUUAAACUAAUUAAAACAUUAUUUGAUAAUUUUGGCAUAUGAAUUUUAAUUGGUAUUGAUUUUUUUUCACAACUUUUGGAACGACAAGAUGGGACUACCAAGUCCAGAGGUCAGAUGGUCCAAGUCCAGAGGUCGGAUGGUCAUCUAAGGUGCUGUUAGUCUUGCUCUCCAAAUGACUCUCAUGAAUGUGAACCUUGAUCAAACGUGCAGAAUAUUUGAGCAUAUUUGAGCAGAUAGUUUAUCCGGUAUUUUUGGAAAAAGAGUGAUAUGUCAGCAUAGUCAUGGUAUAUGACAAUGAUAAUUUGAAGAACCAUUUAAAGUAUUUUGAUAUUGCAGCAGAAGGCAGACUUUGAAGAGUUCACGCUGCACAGAAAGAUGAUGAAAUGCUACCCAUUGAAUCCAUCGUUGCUCCAUUGGAGUCGAAGCUUAAGCUUGCUGCAGGAGGUAUACUUCUGUUCUGCAAUAUGACCCCUUUAAUUUGUUUGUACAUGGGAGGUAUAGAGUGUUCAAUGUGUAUUUGGUUUCCAUAUUGUUUAUGGAUCUAUCGACUCAUUUAUUACAUGAAUCAAUAAUUAUAACGAGUUAAUUUUUUUUUACAUGAGCACA
This 1522-nucleotide small RNA is filed under the name Malus domestica (apple). Its description in RNAcentral is "sRNA MD08G0117700". Lineage: Eukaryota; Viridiplantae; Streptophyta; Magnoliopsida; Rosales; Rosaceae. The record is from RNAcentral.